AUACGAGAUCUAUUUAUGACCAACUCAGAAGCAAAAUAUGUCAUGCGAUCUUGCUGUCCAUGGUUACUCCCUGCUUUGAAUUUUGAGCAGGGAAGAUAACGGAACUUGAUUUGGUGACAAAGGUGAAUUCCAUGUCAAUUUUAUCGUUGUUCUUCUUUUCACCCAAGUACUUGUGUUUUCUCUGUUUGUGAGGUUCUGUUGUUUCUGUGCUUAUUUUCUCAACCAAUAUAAAUUUCUUUGUCUUUUCUUGUUAAUUCGUAGUAAAAGCAUAAUGACCUGGAGAAGUCAUGUUGACUCCUUUAUUCAAUGCUUGAGUAUUUAGUUGAAGUCCUUUUGUUAUUAUUAUCUUUAUUCAUUUGGUAGAAUUCCUUGAUGUCAAAUACUGCCUUGUUUUAUAAGUCUUUUGAUAUUUUAAAAUUAAAUUAAGGGAGACCUUAUUCAGGUUACUUGUCAGCCUUUGAUUUUUCUUGUGAAGGAAUAUUUUGUGUCAAUAUUUGCAAUUUGUACAGCCCUGCAUUCCAGUGAACAUCCAGAAAAGGAAAUGGUAGGGAUUGCUCUUUGUAAUUCAAGUCUGCAGAUUGGUAAACUUUCGGAGCUUGAAUGGAUGACCUUAUAAGAGAACACAUGGUUCAACUGUCAGCUUCCUUUUGUCUCUUGCUUCAUCUUCUGUUGACCCAUCAAUGCCUUUGUUCUCCAAAAUGAUUGUUACAUUUCAGUCAAAAGUGUUGCUGAUGGUUUUCUAGAGAAGGAUGAUCAUAAUACUUAAAAAGGCAUUGUUAAUCAGAUAAACAUUUUUCUCCCUGAUACAGUUUUCAAGUAUAAAUCCACUAUCAAAUUUCUUCAGCGGCCCAUCCUCAUCUCAAGCGGCAUAAGUUCUCUACAAUUGAGGUUCUUAUUGAUGUAAUUGGGUAUACAGCAGCACUUUCUUGCACUUCAAUGAGAAACCCCACAAAAGAAGCAUUCAAUGUGCUUGGCGAACAACUUCAGUUUUUGGUUUCAAAAUUGGUUGCUUGUUGCAUUCCAUCUGAAGCCCAGGUUACUUAUGUUUUUUCACUCCUAAGGUCAUAUAUCUGCUCCAUCAGCUAACAGCAGAUGCUGAC
Molecule: long non-coding RNA, 1100 nt
Organism: Dioscorea cayenensis subsp. rotundata (Guinea yam)
Lineage: Eukaryota; Viridiplantae; Streptophyta; Magnoliopsida; Dioscoreales; Dioscoreaceae
Exons: 6
Source: RefSeq, a predicted model, not a curated record